AAAUUUUUUAAAUAAGUUUCUUUAUUUUUGUUUGUCUCAAUUUAGUUUUUGUAUUGAAAACUUUAAUGCAAUUAAGUUAUUUUCGUUAGUACUACAUAAAUAAAAAUGUGUCAUAUGUUAGUUCGUAAUUUUCUUAUUUUUCUAAUAAAAAAAUAUCAAUUUGUAUAAAAAAAAAUUGUAAAGAUUUAUAUACAAAUUAUAAUUUGUUUGUCUGCCAUUGAAGUGUUGGGAGGAAGUGUGAAAGGGGCUAGCAUUGACUUGAUGUAUUUAAAACUUUGUCAAUAUUGUACAUAGUUAUAUGAAAUGAGUACAAAGUUGGUAGCCUAUUGUUUGAACCAAGGCGAGGUGCGGGGAAUUGUGAGAAAUGUGCCUUAGGAGACUGUGUAAUCACUUACAGGAUAGCUGUAAUCGCUUACCAGAGAAAAUAUUAAGUUUUGUACUGAAAGUUGGUGGCUGCUCCCUAGGUUUUUUGGAGUUGCUCACAAGUGGGUAGCUCGUGAUAAGUUGGGUAGAACUAAGUGUUGUUAGGGCUCACAAGUAGGCUUUUUUGUUUGAACCAAGGCGAGGUGUGGGGAAUUGUGAGAUAUGUGCCUUAGGAGACUGUGUAAUCGCUUACAGGAUAGUUGUAAUCGCUUCCCAGAGAAAAUAUUAAAUGUUGUACCGAAAGUUGGUGGCUGCUCCCUGGGUUUUUUGGACUUGCUCACAAGUGGG
This 711-nucleotide long non-coding RNA is filed under the name Vigna radiata. RNAcentral's name for it is "long non-coding RNA (VRAD_LNC000411)". The record is from RNAcentral. Lineage: Eukaryota; Viridiplantae; Streptophyta; Magnoliopsida; Fabales; Fabaceae.